ACCUGGGGACACCUGUGGGCAGGUGAGGGACAGGUGAGGAUGGGUCCAGGUGAGUUUGGAGCUGCUCAGAGCAGGGAUUGCAGGUCCUGGCAGGGUUAACCUGUUGUCCCUGCAGGUCCUGGCAGGGCUGGAGCUCAGGGUUAACCCCAGGUCCUGGCAGGGCCGUAGCUCAGGGUUAACCCCUGUGUCCCCAGGUGCUCACAGGUCCUGGCAGGGCCAGAGCUCAGGGUUAACCCCAGGUCCUGGCAGGGCCGUAGCUCAGGGUUAACCCCAGGUCCUGGCAGGGCCAUAGCUCAGGGUUAACCCCAGGUCCUGGCAGGGCCGGAGUUCAGGGUUAACCCCAGGUCCUGGCAGGGCCAUAGCUCAGGGUUAACCCCAGGUCCUGGCAGGGCCAUAGCUCAGGGUUUCUCCCCCAGGUCCUGGCAGGGCUGGAGCUCAGGGUUAACCCCAGGUCCUGGCAGGGCCAUAGCUCAGGGUUAACCCCAGGUCCUGGCAGGGCCGGAGCUCAGGGUUAGCCCCAGGUCCUGGCAGGGCCAUAGCUCAGGGUUUCUCCCCCAGGUCCUGGCAGGGCCAUAGCUCAGGGUUAACCCCUGUGUCCCCAGGUGCUCACAGGUCCUGGCAGGGCCGGAGCUCAGGGUUAACCCCAGGUCCUGGCAGGGCCAUAGCUCAGGGUUAACCCCAGGUCCUGGCAGGGCCAUAGCUCAGGGUUAACCCCAGGUCCUGGCAGGGCUGGAGCUCAGGGUUACCCCAGGUCCUGGCAGGGCCAUAGCUCAGGGUUAACCCCAGGUCCUGGCAGGGCCGUAGCUCAGGGUUAACCCCAGGUCCUGGCAGGGCCAUAGCUCAGGGUUAACCCCUGUGUCCCCACAGGCGAGUUCGUGGCCCAGUUCAAGUUCACGGUGCUGCUGAUGCCCAACGGCCCCAUGAGGAUCACGAGCGGCCCCUUCGAGCCCGAGCUCUACAAAUCCGACCUGGAGGUGCAGGACGGGGAGCUCAAGGCCCUUCUACAAAGCUCCGCCAGCCGCAAGACCCAGAAAAAGAAGAAAAAGAAGGUAAAAUCCACCCUUUUUUUACAUUCUGAAUUCCCAGAUUUGGAAUUCCGGGGUUUCUCCACCUGAAGAACCCCAAAAAAUCCCUGGAUUUGUCCCCACAGGCUUCCAAAAACGCGGAAAACGCCACCACGGGGGAGACGGCGGAGGAGAACGAGGCCGGCGACUGAGAAAUCGCUUUGGAGUUCUCAAAUCGCUCCUUUUUUCCCCAAAAAAACAAACAAACAAACAAAAAAAAUCCCCACAAAAAAACAAAAUUCCAUCCGGAAACGAAAUAAUCUGGCGUUGGUCCGGACAUAAAUUCCAGUCUGGAAUUCCCACAGAAUCCCAACAGCUCCCGUUGAUUUUGCCAAGGAGGGAGGAAUCUCUCGGUCACUUCAGAUUUUUAAAAGCGAAAAAAUAAUAAUAAUAAUAAUAAUAAUAAUAAAAAACAUCCCCAAAAGAGCA
This 1493-nucleotide long non-coding RNA is filed under the name Cyanistes caeruleus (blue tit). Its description in RNAcentral is "lncRNA (ENSCCEG00000008556.1)". The record is from RNAcentral. Lineage: Eukaryota; Metazoa; Chordata; Aves; Passeriformes; Paridae.